AGGCGGCGCUCCAUGCGAGUUGUGGCCACCGCAGUACCCCAGCAAAGGCGGGGAUCUGAUGGGUCAGGUCUCGGCGCUGGACGGAAGGCUGCUGCUCUGGUGAAGCGUCUGGCCGCCGAGCAGAGGAAUCAAGACCUGCUCAUUCUUUCCUCGGGGGAUCCAUCCAGCAAUGACAUCAUCUCAUGCUGCCACAAGGACCCCAAGUCUGGGCUGCUGGGGACCAGCCACGCUCCCCACUGCUCAUUCCUUCAUCCUAGAGACAUUCUGACUCUCCUCCGACUGCGCUGUGCACAGGUGUGACAAGCUCUUUUACAUCUCAGUCUGCACAACUUCAGGCACUUAGCAGAUUGAUAUGCAUCCAACAAAUAUUGAUUGAAUAUCUGCUAAAUACCCAGUAAUGUUUCAUGAGUGAUUGGGUGAAUAAAGGAAUGCUGGUUC
Homo sapiens (human) is the source of this 438-nucleotide long non-coding RNA. Ensembl annotates it as long intergenic non-protein coding RNA 1874. The record is from Ensembl. Lineage: Eukaryota; Metazoa; Chordata; Mammalia; Primates; Hominidae.